RNAcentral lists this ribosomal RNA (739 nucleotides) under Anteromorpha sp. M421. Its description in RNAcentral is "eukaryotic LSU rRNA". It matches the Rfam family "Eukaryotic large subunit ribosomal RNA", at positions 513 to 920 of the family's 3401-position model. The record is from RNAcentral. Lineage: Eukaryota; Metazoa; Arthropoda; Insecta; Hymenoptera; Scelionidae.
CCCGAAAGAUCGAAUGAGGAGACUCAUCGUCAGCGGAGUUGGCUUCCAUGUGGUUUGCGAUGUUUGAGACGGUACUUUCGUAUUUGUCAAUUUCACGCGGCCGCUGUGGUAUGUCCGGCUACGUCGGCGUGCACUUCUCCUCUAGUAGAACGUCGCGACCCGCUGGGUGUCGGUUUAAGGACCGGGCAGUUGACUGCACCGUCGCUUCGGUGUACGUUGCAGACUCUCGGAUUCCCGACCGGCUGCUCGGCGGUAUACGCAUGGUAUUGAGCCGCAGUUGAAUGCGUUCAGACUCGUUGCAAGCUCGACCGUUGUUCCGGAGUGCGGACCUAGUGCCGUACCCGGGCAUGGUUGGCUGUUGGUUGACGGUGUUCUCGAACUGGCUUAUUUUCAAGAUACCGGUCGGCGACGCUAUUGCUUUGGGUACUUUCAGGACCCGUCUUGAAACACGGACCAAGGAGUCUAACAUGUGCGCGAGUCAUUGGGAUGUUGAAACCUAAAGGCGUAUUGAAAGAGAAGAUCGGCCUUGCGUCGGUUGAGGGAGGAUGAGUAACGUUUAGAUGUUGCUCCGCACUCCCGGGGCGUCUCGUUGUCAUUGCGACUUGAGGCGCACCUAGAGCGUACACGUUGGGACCCGAAAGAUGGUGAACUAUGCCUGGUCAGGACGAAGUCAGGGGAAACCCUGAUGGAGGUCCGUAGCGAUUCUGACGUGCAAAUCGAUCGUCGGAACUGGGUAUAG